UCCCGAGUGCUUGCACUCAAUUGGAAAGAGGAGUGGCGGACGGGUGAGUAACACGUGGGUAACCUACCCAUCAGAGGGGGAUAACACUUGGAAACAGGUGCUAAUACCGCAUAACAGUUUAUGCCGCAUGGCAUAAGAGUGAAAGGCGCUUUCGGGUGUCGCUGAUGGAUGGACCCGCGGUGCAUUAGCUAGUUGGUGAGGUAACGGCUCACCAAGGCCACGAUGCAUAGCCGACCUGAGAGGGUGAUCGGCCACACUGGGACUGAGACACGGCCCAGACUCCUACGGGAGGCAGCAGUAGGGAAUCUUCGGCAAUGGACGAAAGUCUGACCGAGCAACGCCGCGUGAGUGAAGAAGGUUUUCGGAUCGUAAAACUCUGUUGUUAGAGAAGAACAAGGACGUUAGUAACUGAACGUCCCCUGACGGUAUCUAACCAGAAAGCCACGGCUAACUACGUGCCAGCAGCCGCGGUAAUACGUAGGUGGCAAGCGUUGUCCGGAUUUAUUGGGCGUAAAGCGAGCGCAGGCGGUUUCUUAAGUCUGAUGUGAAAGCCCCCGGCUCAACCGGGGAGGGUCAUUGGAAACUGGGAGACUUGAGUGCAGAAGAGGAGAGUGGAAUUCCAUGGGUUAAACG
This 633-nucleotide ribosomal RNA is filed under the name Enterococcus faecalis. RNAcentral describes it as "bacterial SSU rRNA". It matches the Rfam family "Bacterial small subunit ribosomal RNA", at positions 70 to 682 of the family's 1533-position model. Lineage: Bacteria; Bacillati; Bacillota; Bacilli; Lactobacillales; Enterococcaceae. The record is from RNAcentral.